This 497-nucleotide ribosomal RNA is filed under the name uncultured bacterium. RNAcentral describes it as "partial 16S ribosomal RNA". It matches the Rfam family "Bacterial small subunit ribosomal RNA", at positions 28 to 507 of the family's 1533-position model. The record is from RNAcentral.
GAUGAACGCUGGCGGCGUGCCUAAUACAUGCAAGUCGAGCGAACGGACGAGAAGCUUGCUUCUCUGAUGUUAGCGGCGGACGGGUGAGUAACACGUGGAUAACCUACCUAUAAGACUGGGAUAACUUCGGGAAACCGGAGCUAAUACCGGAUGAUAUUUUGAACCGCAUGGUUCAAAAGUGAAAGACGGUCUUGCUGUCACUUAUAGAUGGGUCCGCGCUGCAUUAGCUAGUUGGUAAGGUAACGGCUUACCAAGGCAACGAUGCAUAGCCGACCUGAGAGGGUGAUCGGCCACACUGGAACUGAGACACGGUCCAGACUCCUACGGGAGGCAGCAGUAGGGAAUCUUCCGCAAAGGGCGAAAGCCUGACGGAGCAACGCCGCGUGAGUGAUGAAGGUCUUCGGAUCGUAAAAUUCUGUUAUUAGGGAAGAACAUAUGUGUAAGUAACUGUGCACAUCUUGACGGUACCUAAUCAGAAAGCCACGGCUAACUACGUG